GCCUUAGUAACGGCGAGUGAAGCGGCAAAAGCUCAAAUUUGAAAUCUGGUACCUUCGGUGCCCGAGUUGUAAUUUGGAGAGGGCAACUUUGGGGCCGUUCCUYGUCUAUGUUCCUUGGAACAGGACGUCAUAGAGGGUGAGAAUCCCGUGUGGCGAGGAGUGCGGUUCUUUGUAAAGUGCCUUCGAAGAGUCGAGUUGUUUGGGAAUGCAGCUCUAAGUGGGUGGUAAAUUCCAUCUAAAGCUAAAUAUUGGCGAGAGACCGAUAGCGAACAAGUACAGUGAUGGAAAGAUGAAAAGAACUUUGAAAAGAGAGUGAAAAAGUACGUGAAAUUGUUGAAAGGGAAGGGCAUUUGAUCAGACAUGGUGUUUUGUGCCCUCUGCUCCUUGUGGGUAGGGGAAUCUCGCAUUUCACUGGGCCAGCAUCAGUUUUGGUGGCAGGAUAAAUCCAUAGGAAUGUAGCUUGCCUCGGUAAGUAUUAUAGCCUGUGGGAAUACUGCCAGCUGGGACUGAGGACUGCGACGUAAGUCAAGGAUGCUGGCAUA
Molecule: ribosomal RNA, 542 nt
Filed under: Saccharomyces cerevisiae (brewer's yeast)
Lineage: Eukaryota; Fungi; Ascomycota; Saccharomycetes; Saccharomycetales; Saccharomycetaceae
Description: eukaryotic LSU rRNA
Rfam family: Eukaryotic large subunit ribosomal RNA
Source: RNAcentral